GAUUGGUAAUGGGCGGAAGCCUGAACCAGCCAUGCCGCGUGCAGGAAGACGGCCCUACGGGUUGUAAACUGCUUUUGUACCAGAAUAAACCCCCGGUCGUGACCGGGGCUGAAUGUAUGGUAAGAAUAAGGAUCGGCUAACUCCGUGCCAGCAGCCGCGGUAAUACGGAGGAUCCAAGCGUUAUCCGGAUUUAUUGGGUUUAAAGGGUGCGUAGGCGGCCUGUUAAGUCAGGGGUGAAAGACGGUAGCUCAACUAUCGCAGUGCCCUUGAUACUGAUGGGCUUGAAUGUACUUGAGGUAGGCGGAAUGUGACAAGUAGCAGUGAAAUGCAUAGAUAUGUCACAGAACACCAAUUGCGNAAGGCAGCUUACUAAAGUAUGAUUGACGCUGAGGCACGAAAGCGUGGGGAUCAAACAGGAUUAGNAUACCCUGGUAGUCCCGCCCUAAACGAUGAAUACUCGAUGUUAGCGAUAUACAGUUAGCGGUCNAAACCGAAANGCGGUUUAANUUUU
This 511-nucleotide ribosomal RNA is filed under the name uncultured bacterium. RNAcentral describes it as "bacterial SSU rRNA". It matches the Rfam family "Bacterial small subunit ribosomal RNA", at positions 359 to 868 of the family's 1533-position model. The record is from RNAcentral.